AUCGAUGGCCAUGCUACCCUGAACAAGCCUGAUCUUGUCUGAUCUUGGAAGCUAAGCAGGGUCGGGCCUGGUUAGUACUUGGAUGGAAGACUACGUAGGGAGACCAGGUGUGUAGGCA
This 118-nucleotide ribosomal RNA is filed under the name Pteropus alecto (black flying fox). Lineage: Eukaryota; Metazoa; Chordata; Mammalia; Chiroptera; Pteropodidae. The record is from RNAcentral.